CUCUUUAAAGGAUAAUGCGGUUUUUGGAAAGUUUCAAUACUUUUAGUUAACAUUAUC
This 57-nucleotide ribosomal RNA is filed under the name Fervidobacterium pennivorans. Its description in RNAcentral is "partial 23S ribosomal RNA". Lineage: Bacteria; Thermotogati; Thermotogota; Thermotogae; Thermotogales; Fervidobacteriaceae. The record is from RNAcentral.